This is a small nucleolar RNA of 222 nucleotides. Its record names the gene U3. It matches the Rfam family "Small nucleolar RNA U3". Rfam says of the family: Small nucleolar RNAs (snoRNAs) are involved in the processing and modification of rRNA in the nucleolus. There are two main classes of snoRNAs: the box C/D class, and the box H/ACA class. The record is from Ensembl.
AAGACUAUACUUUCAGGGAUCAUUUCUAUAGUUUGUUACUAGAGAAGUUUCUCUGAUCGUGUAGAGCACCCGAGUUUCUCUGAUCGUGUAGAGCAGAUGCAAUGUUCUCUCCUGAGCGUGAAGCCGGUCCUUGGUGUUGCUUCUGCAGCUGCCAUUGACCAUUGAUGAUCGUUCUUCUCUUCCUUUGGGAGAGUGAGAGGGGGAGGACACCAUCUGAGUGGU